CGCCCCUGCCCUUUGGAUCACCCCGCCUCAGCUGCCAGCGCCCCUCGGAAGUCUGACCAUCUCAUCCUGGCAUUCAAGGACCCACGUGAUUCAGUCUCACUGCCUCUCAGAGUUAUGUCUCUUUUUGGCUACAGGCAACCCAGCCUGCAAGCAAACUGUCCUGCUUUGGACCCUGCUGUGUCACUCUCCGCACCAGCCUUUGCCUCUGCUCUUCGCUCUAUGAAGUCCUCCCAGGCUGCACGGAAGGACGACUUUCUCAGGUCUCUUAGGGAUGGAGACUCAGGGACAUCAGAACACAUCUCAGCGGUGGUAAAGAACCGCAGUCAUCGAACUGGAGUCCCAUUGAUUCCCUCCCCCUCGCCGCCCCAAAUCUGGCACCUGCCCAAGUAAAAAGUUAUGACACCAAGCACAGUGCUCCGAAGGCGGAGGCGGAUGAGCGCGGGAGGUCUCCGUAGGCGACGCCCUCCCACCCCUUCCCUUGUUCUCAUGGCACUCCUAGCUACUGGCAAAGCAGUUGCUGUCCAUUGUGGGGUGCAGUCCGGAAGGGAGCCCUGGCAGAUCAGUGAGAGAAUUCACAGACCUUCAGAUGUUACCGCAGAUCUGGCCCUGGUAAGCAUCAUUCUACUCCGUGCCUCCGUAAGAUCCACUUUUUUAGCUCCCACAUUUGAGUGAGAACAUGUGAUAUUUGUAUUUUUGUACCUGUUUAUUUCACUCAACAUAAUGAACUCCAGCUCCAUCCAUGCUGCUACAAAUGAAAGGAUAUUAUUCUGUUUUAUGGCCAAAUAAUGUUUCUUUGUGUAUAUGUACCACAUUUUCCUUAUCCAUUCAUUCAUUGGUGGAUUCUUAGGUUGAUUUCACUUCUUGACUAAUAUGAACAGUGCUGUAAUAAACAUGGGAGUGCAGAGAGUUCUUAAGUUUACUGAUUUCCUGUCUUUUGGAUAUAUCCAGCAGUGGGAUUGCUAGAUCAUAUGGUAGUUCUACUUUUAGUUUUUUGAAGCGCCUCCAUACUGUUGUUCAUGGUGGCUGUCCUAGUUUAUAUUCCCACUAACAGUGUAUGAGUGUUCCCCUUUCUCCGAAUCCUUGCCAACAUCUGUUAUUUUUUGUCUUUUUGAUAAUAGCCGUUCUAACUGGGGUGAGAUGGUAUCUCAUCAUGGUUUGAUUUGCAUUUCCCUGAUGAUUAGUGAUAUUGAACAUUUUUUCAUAUACCUGCUGACCGUUUGUAUGCCUUCUUUUGG
Molecule: long non-coding RNA, 1235 nt
Filed under: Pan troglodytes (chimpanzee)
Lineage: Eukaryota; Metazoa; Chordata; Mammalia; Primates; Hominidae
Description: long non-coding RNA NONPTRT002267
Source: RNAcentral